AGUUCUCUCAAGCUGCCAAAGUCGCAGAACUUGAAAAGCGCCUGACAGAGCUGGAGACAGCUGUACGUUGUGAUCAGGAUGCUCAGGUCAGGUGUUCUCCUGUACAUAAUCUGAGCCUUAGAUCCUGCAACUCUAGGCCUUAAGGUCUACAACAUUCCACAUAAGCCUGGGAGGAGUCAUCAAAGGGCUUCAGUUACAGGGAUCAGCUAGUGGGUUCCCAGCUAGAACCAGGAAAGAUGGGAGAUGAUAAUCAUGGAGAUAUAAGGACCACUCACUUCUUCCCUCCCUUUCCCACCAGAAUCCCCUUUCUGCAGGUCUACAGGGAGCCUGUCUCAUGGAGACUGUAGAGCUGUUGCAAGCAAAGGUGAGCGCCCUAGACCUUGCAGUUUUGGAUCAAGUGGAGGCUCGGCUACAGAGUGUCCUGGGAAAGGUGAACGAGAUUGCCAAGCAUAAAGCCUCUGUAGAAGAUGCAGAUACACAAAGCAAGGUCAGGAAGACACCUUUCCCAUCUCCUUUCCACUCCCUCAGGUUCUCCGAGUGGCAGUGUCAAAGCAUGAGAACACACUGACUCCUCAGGUCCCCAUCUUCAUAAGCUCUUAUGAAGAGCUUAUCAGCUUGGAAAGUCAGGGCACUGCUUCCCUCUGCCCACUUGAUCCUUUCCCCCAUUAUGGUGAAGUAGCAGUCUGUGCAUACUGACCUGGCUGCCUCAGCCAUCCCCUCUGGGCCCUAUUGUGUCCCUUCAGGUGCACCAGCUAUAUGAAACUAUACAGCGCUGGAGCCCCAUUGCCUCCA
RNAcentral lists this small RNA (792 nucleotides) under Pongo abelii (Sumatran orangutan). Its description in RNAcentral is "retained intron". Lineage: Eukaryota; Metazoa; Chordata; Mammalia; Primates; Hominidae. The record is from RNAcentral.